GUUUACGGCCAUACCAGCCUGGGUACGCCCGAUCUCGUCUGAGCUUGGAAGUUAAGCAUGGUCUGGCCUGGUUAGUACUUGGAUGGGAGACCGCCUGGGAAUACCUGGUGCUGUAAGGU
Salmo trutta (river trout) is the source of this 119-nucleotide ribosomal RNA. The record is from Ensembl. Lineage: Eukaryota; Metazoa; Chordata; Actinopteri; Salmoniformes; Salmonidae.